RNAcentral lists this ribosomal RNA (468 nucleotides) under uncultured bacterium. RNAcentral describes it as "partial 16S ribosomal RNA". It matches the Rfam family "Bacterial small subunit ribosomal RNA", at positions 28 to 507 of the family's 1533-position model. The record is from RNAcentral.
GACGAACGCUGGCGGCGUGCUUAACACAUGCAAGUCGAACGGAAAGGCCCUGCUUUUGUGGGGUGCUCGAGUGGCGAACGGGUGAGUAACACGUGGGUAACCUGCCCUUGACUUUGGGAUAACUUCAGGAAACUGGGGCUAAUACCGGAUAGGAGCUCCUGCUGCAUGGUGGGGGUUGGAAAGUUUCGGCGGUUGGGGAUGGACUCGCGGCUUAUCAGCUUGUUGGUGGGGUAGUGGCUUACCAAGGCUUUGACGGGUAGCCGGCCUGAGAGGGUGACCGGCCACAUUGGGACUGGGAUACGGCCCAGACUCCUACGGGAGGCAGCAGGGUGGAAUAUUGCACAAUGGGCGGAAGCCUGAUGCAGCAACGCCGCGUGCGGGAUGACGGCCUUCGGGUUGUAAACCGCUUUCGCCUGUGACGAAGCGUGAGUGACGGUAAUGGGUAAAGAAGCACCGGCUAACUACGUG